AUUGAACGCUGGCGGCAUGCUUUACACAUGCAAGUCGAACGGUAACAGGCCGCAAGGUGCUGACGAGUGGCGAACGGGUGAGUAAUGCAUCGGAACGUGCCCAGUCGUGGGGGAUAACUACUCGAAAGAGUAGCUAAUACCGCAUACGAUCUAUGGAUGAAAGCGGGGGACCGUAAGGCCCCGCGCGAUUGGAGCGGCCGAUGUCAGAUUAGGUAGUUGGUGGGGUAAAGGCUCACCAAGCCAACGAUCUGUAGCUGGUCUGAGAGGACAACCAGCCACACUGGGACUGAGACACGGCCCAGACUCCUACGGGAGGCAGCAGUGGGGAAUUUUGGACAAUGGGCGCAAGCCUGAUCCAGCAAUGCCGCGUGCAGGAAGAAGGCCUUCGGGUUGUAAACUGCUUUUGUACGGAACGAAACGGCUCUGGUUAAUACCCGGGGCUAAUGACGGUACCGUAAGAAUAAGCACCGGCUAACUACGUG
Molecule: ribosomal RNA, 482 nt
Filed under: uncultured bacterium
Lineage: Bacteria
Description: partial 16S ribosomal RNA
Rfam family: Bacterial small subunit ribosomal RNA
Source: RNAcentral